This 253-nucleotide ribosomal RNA is filed under the name uncultured bacterium. RNAcentral describes it as "partial 16S ribosomal RNA". It matches the Rfam family "Bacterial small subunit ribosomal RNA", at positions 524 to 776 of the family's 1533-position model. The record is from RNAcentral.
UACGUAGGGGGCUAGCGUUGUCCGGAAUCAUUGGGCGUAAAGAGCGUGUAGGCGGUCCGGUAAGUCCGCUGUGAAAGUCGGGGGCUCAACCCUCGAAUGCCGGUGGAUACUGUCGGGCUAGAGUGCGGAAGAGGCGAGUGGAAUUCCUGGUGUAGCGGUGAAAUGCGCAGAUAUCAGGAGGAACACCUAUUGCGAAGGCAGCUCGCUGGGACGUUACUGGCGCUGAGACGCGAAAGCGUGGGGAGCAAACAGG